GACAGAGGUGCCGAGCGUUAGGCGGAAUCACUGGGCUUAAAGCGUGUGUAGGCGGAUGCCUAAGUACCUUGUGAAAUCCCACGGCUCAACCGUGGAACUGCUUGGUAUACUGGGCGUCUUGAGCCACUUAGGGGCAACCGGAACAAACGGUGGAGCGGUGAAAUGCGUAGAUAUCGUGAGGAAGACCAGUGGCGAAGGCGGAUCUCUGGACAGUUCCUGACGCUGAGGCGCGAAGGCCAGGGGAGCAAACGGG
RNAcentral lists this ribosomal RNA (253 nucleotides) under uncultured bacterium. RNAcentral's name for it is "partial 16S ribosomal RNA". It matches the Rfam family "Bacterial small subunit ribosomal RNA", at positions 524 to 776 of the family's 1533-position model. The record is from RNAcentral.